GGGUGGUUGGCUCAGUGGUAGAGCGUCUGCCUUACAAGCAGAGGGUCACUGGUUCGAAUCCAGUACUACCCAGUC
This 75-nucleotide transfer RNA is filed under the name Sargassum confusum. RNAcentral's name for it is "tRNA-Val". It matches the Rfam family "tRNA". From Rfam's summary of the family: Transfer RNA (tRNA) molecules are approximately 80 nucleotides in length. Their secondary structure includes four short double-helical elements and three loops (D, anti-codon, and T loops). Further hydrogen bonds mediate the characteristic L-shaped molecular structure. tRNAs have two regions of fundamental functional importance: the anti-codon, which is responsible for specific mRNA codon recognition, and the 3' end, to which the tRNAs corresponding amino acid is attached (by aminoacyl-tRNA synthetases). tRNAs cope with the degeneracy of the genetic code in two manners: having more than one tRNA (with a specific anti-codon) for a particular amino acid; and 'wobble' base-pairing, i.e. permitting non-standard base-pairing at the 3rd anti-codon position. RNAcentral also lists the same sequence under 1 other name. Lineage: Eukaryota; Phaeophyceae; Fucales; Sargassaceae. The record is from RNAcentral.